UCCGGUUGAUCCUGCCGGACCUGACUGCUAUCGGAUUGAUACUAAGCCAUGCGAGUCAUUGUAGCAAUAAAGGCAUACGGCUCAGUAACGCGUAGUCAACCUAACCUAUGGACGGGAAUAACCUCGGGAAACUGAGAAUAAUGCCCGAUAGAACAUUAUGCCUGGAAUGGUUUAUGUUCCAAAUGAUUUAUCGCCGUAGGAUGGGACUGCGGCCUAUCAGUUUGUUGGUGAGGUAAUGGCCCACCAAGACUAUUACAGGUACGGGCUCUGAGAGGAGUAGCCCGGAGAUGGGUACUGAGACACGGACCCAGGCCCUAUGGGGCGCAGCAGGCGAGAAAACUUUGCAAUGUGCGAAAGCGCGACAAGGUUAAUCCGAGUGGUUUCUGCUAAAGAAACCUUUUGUCAGUCCUAGAAACACUGAUGAAUAAGGGGUGGGCAAGUUCUGGUGUCAGCCGCCGCGGUAGAACCAGCACCUCAAGUGGUCAGGAUGAUUAUUGGGCCUAAAGCAUCCGUAGCCGGCUCUGUAAGUUUUCGGUUAAAUCUGUACGCUCAACGUACAGGCUGCCGGGAAUACUGCAGAGCUAGGGAGUGGGAGAGGUAGACGGUACUUGGUAGGAAGGGGUAAAAUCCUUUGAUCUAUUGAUGACCACCUGUGGCGAAGGCGGUCUACCAGAACACGUCCGACGGUGAGGGAUGAAAGCUGGGGGAGCAAACCGGAUUAGAUACCCGGGUAGUCCCAGCUGUAAACUAUGCAAACUCAGUGAUGCAUUGGCUUGUGGCCAAUGCAGUGCUGCAGGGAAGCCGUUAAGUUUGCCGCCUGGGAAGUACGUACGCAAGUAUGAAACUUAAAGGAAUUGGCGGGGGAGCACCACAAGGGGUGAAGCCUGCGGUUCAAUUGGAGUCAACGCCGGG
Molecule: ribosomal RNA, 912 nt
Filed under: archaeon enrichment culture clone EA3.3
Lineage: Archaea
Description: bacterial SSU rRNA
Rfam family: Archaeal small subunit ribosomal RNA
Source: RNAcentral